GUCCGCGUAGCUCAGUUGGAUAGAGCGUCUGCCUCCGGAGCAGAAGGUCGCAGGUUCGAGUCCUGCCGCGGAUG
RNAcentral lists this transfer RNA (74 nucleotides) under Planctomycetota bacterium. Its description in RNAcentral is "tRNA-Arg". It matches the Rfam family "tRNA". From Rfam's summary of the family: Transfer RNA (tRNA) molecules are approximately 80 nucleotides in length. Their secondary structure includes four short double-helical elements and three loops (D, anti-codon, and T loops). Lineage: Bacteria; Pseudomonadati; Planctomycetota. RNAcentral also lists the same sequence under 2 other names. The record is from RNAcentral.